Molecule: long non-coding RNA, 1074 nt
Organism: Aphis gossypii (cotton aphid)
Lineage: Eukaryota; Metazoa; Arthropoda; Insecta; Hemiptera; Aphididae
Exons: 3
Source: RefSeq, a predicted model, not a curated record
AAUUGAGUGGUUUCAUAGUAGAUGUGUGAAACAGUAACCCUCAUCAUUCAAACAAUCAUAACUCUAAAUGUAUCAAACUAUUAACUAAAAUUAAUAUCUUAAGGGAGCUGCAACAACCAUUUAUUGUAAAGUAGAAUGUAAAAUCCAAUUAUUCCAAUCUCUAAUAGUGAGUAGUGAGUGACCUAUAGGCUAUAGCCAAUAAUGUUUCCUCAUCUCUCAAUCCAACAGGUAUUAAGAAAUAUUUACCAGUUUUCCGCUCCACAUUACCGAACACCUACUACUCACCAGUUACCACUCGAUGCAUUCAUUGCACUCAGCGAUACUUCAGCCGACCAAACUUCAGACUCAUCGCCUUCAUAAAUCAUAAUAAUAAGAAGAAUAAUGUAAUUAUUUGAACACACCUUCCAUAUUUCUGGAAAUCGACGACCACUUUCUGCAUCGCCAUACAAAGUCGUCGACAUAAUCACAAUUUGUCGAUAAUGUGAUUUUUAUUACAUUUUAAUGUAUUUGGCUUUGCGAUGAGGCUCCACAAUUAAAGUUGCUCAAUGACCGCCAUGGGCAACGUACCGUUUUCAUCGCAGUCAAAAUGUUGAUUAAUUUAAUAACGGACCAUAUAUUUAAUUAAAAAACAAAUUUAAAACAAAAAUGUACAAUAUAUUGUAUAAUAUCAGCGAUAUCAUACAUUUCAUAUUUUAUCUGAUAAAGUUAUAAAUUGUAUAAGGUUAUAACUAUAAUAAAACCUAAAUUUUGAAUUAAUGAUCAAGUAUAAUAAAUUGUCAUUAUUAAAUUAGUGGGGGUAUAAUCACUAUAAUAAUCAAUUAUUUACCAAUACAUCAUACUACAUGAGCGACUAUUUGUCAUAUUUAAACUUUUCAGGUCUCUCGAUAUACCUAACCUAAAUGCAAUUUUUUAUCUUGUGGCAUAGGUACUUGAGAGUUGAGGACUGAGAUGGAGUUGCAUAGUAAAUCGAGAAAUAGGUAUAUACGUUUUUAAUUGUGUUUUAUACGAAAAAAGUACAUAAAAUCAAUUAUACUUUGAUGGCAUCAAUAAUAGUAAAAUAUGAAUGUACUAUCG